CAGCCGCCGCGGUAAUACGAGGGGUGCAAGCGUUAUUCGGAUUGAUUGGGUGUAAAGGGUGUGCAGACGGCUUAUUAAGUCACUUGUUAAAUUCUUAGGCCUAACUGAAGGUCUGCAAGUGAUACUGAUGAGCUAGAGGGUGGAAGAGAGAAGUGGAAUUCUCGGAGUAGCGGUAAAAUGCGUAGAUCUCGAGAGGAACACCAAUGGCGAAGGCAGCUUCUUGGUCCAUUCCUGACGUUCAUGCACGAAAGCGUGGGGAGCAAACAGGAUUAGAUACCCCCGUAGUCCCUGUCUCUUAUAC
Molecule: ribosomal RNA, 301 nt
Filed under: uncultured bacterium
Lineage: Bacteria
Description: partial 16S ribosomal RNA
Rfam family: Bacterial small subunit ribosomal RNA
Source: RNAcentral